This 617-nucleotide ribosomal RNA is filed under the name uncultured bacterium. RNAcentral's name for it is "bacterial SSU rRNA". It matches the Rfam family "Bacterial small subunit ribosomal RNA", at positions 8 to 607 of the family's 1533-position model. The record is from RNAcentral.
AGAGUUUGAUCCUGGCUCAGGAUGAACGCUGGCGGCGUGCCUAAUACAUGCAAGUCGAACGCACAGCGAAAGGUGCUUGCACCUUUCAAGUGAGUGGCGAACGGGUGAGUAACACGUGGACAACCUGCCUCAAGGCUGGGGAUAACAUUUGGAAACAGAUGCUAAUACCGAAUAAAACUCAGUGUCGCAUGACACAAAGUUAAAAGGCGCUUUGGCGUCACCUAGAGAUGGAUCCGCGGUGCAUUAGUUAGUUGGUGGGGUAAAGGCCUACCAAGACAAUGAUGCAUAGCCGAGUUGAGAGACUGAUCGGCCACAUUGGGACUGAGACACGGCCCAAACUCCUACGGGAGGCUGCAGUAGGGAAUCUUCCACAAUGGGCGAAAGCCUGAUGGAGCAACGCCGCGUGUGUGAUGAAGGCUUUCGGGUCGUAAAGCACUGUUGUAUGGGAAGAACAGCUAGAAUAGGGAAUGAUUUUAGUUUGACGGUACCAUACCAGAAAGGGACGGCUAAAUACGUGCCAGCAGCCGCGGUAAUACGUGUGUCCCGAGCGUUAUCCGGAUUUAUUGGGCGCAAAGCGAGCGCAGACGGUUGAUUAAGUCUGAUGUGAAAGCCCGGAG